Molecule: long non-coding RNA, 584 nt
Organism: Fukomys damarensis (Damara mole-rat)
Lineage: Eukaryota; Metazoa; Chordata; Mammalia; Rodentia; Bathyergidae
Exons: 3
Source: RefSeq, a predicted model, not a curated record
CCUGACUGUCGCGAGGACAAAUGGGAGCCCAGGAGAGGACGGUAGAAUGGCUAGCGGUGAAGUGACAUCGACAUUCGGGUAACUGGAAAUGCCUGCCACCCGUUUGGAAGAUUUAAUGGCCGGUUUUAGAAGGCCUCUGUAUACAAUGUGAAAAAACUGCUCUCAGCAUUUAAAAGAAGAUUUGCUGCAUGUGGACAAUAUAGGUGGAAAGACGUUGCCAACGUAUGACAAAGUAGUUAGAAAAACCGCACGCCUUGGAAAAGCCCGUUUGUUUAAAAAACUUGACAAAAAGCGUCUUCUGAAAGUGACUCUGAAAUGGAGCUCAUUAGACCAUCUGAAGAAGCACUAGGAGUGAUACUUGUCCACAUUUGUACCUUGGCUUAGAGGACACGGAGCAGAAGACAGAAAAGAACCAGUACCACACUCGCCACAUGAAGAAGAAAUGUUUUUAGGAAGAACUGUCUUCUGGAAGUAACCUUUGCUAAAGCCACCUCUUGGAGCUAGAUGUGGUCCUGACUUUGUCACUGAAGUGGUGAAGAAGGAAAAGGGUGGGUGAGAGUGAAACAAUGCAAAACAGAGAAGAA